GCCAGGCGUGGUGGCGUGUGCCUGUAAUCCCAGCUACUCAGAGGCUGAGACAGAAGAAUUGCUUGAACCCAGGAGGCAGAGGUUGCAGUGAGCCGAGAUAGUGCCACUGCAUUCCAGCCUGGGUGACAGAGCGAGACUCUGCCUCAA
Molecule: unclassified non-coding RNA, 147 nt
Organism: Pongo abelii (Sumatran orangutan)
Lineage: Eukaryota; Metazoa; Chordata; Mammalia; Primates; Hominidae
Rfam family: Metazoan signal recognition particle RNA
About the family: The signal recognition particle (SRP) is a universally conserved ribonucleoprotein. It is involved in the co-translational targeting of proteins to membranes.
Source: Ensembl